UGAGGAAUAUUGCACAAUGGACGGAAGUCUGAUGCAGCGACGCCGCGUGGGGGAUGAAGGCUUUCGGGUUGUAAACUCCUUUCAGUACAGAAGAAGCUUUAUUGUGACGGUAUGUGCAGAAGAAGCGCCGGCUAACUACGUGCCAGCAGCCGCGGUAAUACGUAGGGCGCGAGCGUUGUCCGGAAUUAUUGGGCGUAAAGAGCUCGUAGGCGGUUUGUCGCGUCUGCUGUGAAAGACCGGGGCUUAACUCCGGGGCUGCAGUGGGUACGGGCAGGCUGGAGUGCGGUAGGGGUAACCGGAAUUCCUGGUGUAGCGGUGGAAUGCGCAGAUAUCAGGAGGAACACCGAUGGCGAAGGCAGGUUACUGGGCCGUUACUGACGCUGAGGAGCGAAAGCAUGGGGAGCGAACAGG
Molecule: ribosomal RNA, 411 nt
Filed under: Verrucomicrobiota bacterium
Lineage: Bacteria; Pseudomonadati; Verrucomicrobiota
Description: Verrucomicrobia bacterium partial 16S ribosomal RNA
Rfam family: Bacterial small subunit ribosomal RNA
Source: RNAcentral